UCGCUCGUGCUGGAUCGCGUGCUGAGGCUCACUGGAGCUAUUUUUUCGACUUUGACAGAGCGACAACACCCUCGCACGGCGCAUCAGAGCCACGGACGCUCAUUUGAAUCAAACGCAGAGCGGGAGGCACGUCGGGAGGGCUCGGCGAGCUGUCUACCAGAUGGACGUGGCAGGAAGGGGUGUGUCAUGGCAGAACCACGACCGCACGGAAGAGAUUCACGGGGAUGCAAUGAGAGACGUGUAGAGAC
RNAcentral lists this unclassified non-coding RNA (248 nucleotides) under Rhodotorula toruloides. The record is from RNAcentral. Lineage: Eukaryota; Fungi; Basidiomycota; Microbotryomycetes; Sporidiobolales; Sporidiobolaceae.